UACUUUUAGUAUUUAUGAACUAUAUAAACAAUCUAUAGGCAUAUUAAUAUUAGUUUUUAUCUCCUUAUGAAAUGCUAUAUGUUGUCUACACCAAGUAUUUAUAGUAUUUAUGAUCUAUAUAAAUUGUGUACAUAAAUCCUAAUAGUAAAUUUAAACCAGUCACGGGGUUUGAAAUCCUAAUAGUAAAUUUAAGCUUCUUUUACGAAUUUUUACACAUAACCUCCCAGAUUAUAUGAUUGAUAGAUAUUGCACCUUACAAAUUUUUUUAUAAUAUCCACAAUAUAGGAGGGGCUAUCUCUAAAAAUCCUUAGGUCUAGUAACUUCGCCGGACUUUUUGGUUGCACUUCCCACGAGAACUAUUACAUGGAAACCCUUGUCAACUUAACAAUGCUACUAGACCUUUGCUCUCUCUCUCUCUCUCUCUCUCUCUCUCUCGCUCCCCCCCACUCUGUAGGUGUUCUUCUCGAUCGCCGGAGGUCGAUGAUUCAAGGACCGCCGAAUUGUUUCAUAAACCCUAAAGAACGAAGCAGGCGAUGUCUCGGAACAAACUCCUCCAAUCCAAAGCCAUUGUACAACACUUCUCCUCCCACCUGUAAAAAGAGGUUGCUAACAUCAAGCAUUGGACUGUGGCAAUGAAAAUCAAUCUGUUUGAUUAGAAGAAAAAUAAAUGAAACCUUGAGAGAUUUGUCUAGUUUCCCAGCCAGUGCAAGCAGCAAAGUAGUUUUCCCACAUCCUGGAGGCCCAAGCAAGAGUGUCAUCCUGCAAGUUGAACAAGUCUAGGUUAGUAAAAGUUUAAACAAAAAAGAGUAUGAAAAUUCCUGCCAAUAUUCUGCUUUUCAAAUAAAUACAACUGAACAAAAGCAUUAUUUCUUCUUUCCACAGAAACAGUUAUCAAAGGGCUUUAAUCCGCGAGAAGUAUUUUGUGUCUGUAAUUGGAAAGAUCAAUUUACAUGCCAAUAAUAACAUAAAAUUUGAUUCAAAAAGAAAAUGAAGCCUACCUGUCUAUUCUCUCUCUUUGCUUCCGAAGCAGCCGAAGGUUAUCAUUCUCGAUGUGCUUGAUGAGAUUCUCAAUGAACAAGCGCCUCUCUAGAGCUCCAAGCUUGGCAACCUCUCAAUGGCAGCCCACUUCAGCUCAUCUUCAUCAUCACCCCUUGUGGAACUGCUGAAACUUCCCCGAAAACUUGAUGCAGCAAACUGAAAGGAUGACCUUAUGCUCCUCCCUAUCUCUUCUAUCUCCUUACCAACAGACUUGUCUUCGUUUUUGCCAAGCAACUGAGCCAUCUUCUCGGGAGGUUUUGAGCCCUUUGCUUUGGAGGCUUCCAAGUAAUGACCUGAAAUAUAUAAAGCAGUCGUGUGAGUCCUUUCAAUGUAUGAUGGCGUAGGACACUGCAUCACUAGAACUUGCUCACUAGGAAAUCUUCGUGGGAAAGAAAUAAAAGAAGCGACAGAAGUUAUCGAUGGUAUUUUAAAAUAUUUUAUAUUUUAAGUUCCUAUCUCUUCUAUCUUUUAAAUAUAUAAAUCUUGUAUCAGUGAGCUGACUACAACUCUUCAAUGGCUCUCUGCUUUUUAUAUAUCUUGUGGUGAUCACUCCAAAUUCUGGUAAUCAUGUAACCAGCUUACGCAACCAACAGCUUGUGUCAUGGCCUGAGCAUUAGCUCAGUGCUGACACCCCCACUUCCGAGAGUGGGUCCAAGGUGGGGUAGGAGUAGUUUGCUUCCCUCCUAUUUCCUGCAUGGAAUUGUCCGGGCUGGGUUCACAAGUGAAAAUCUCAGAAAUGCCCGAGUACCUACUCUUCUCUUACAGGGAUUUGCCCCCCUAUUGAGAGAGAGAGAGAGAGAGAGAGAGAGAGAGAGAGAGAGUCAUGAGGUGGCAUGCUCGCAGCUCUAUGCUUGUAUUUGAUAAUGAUAGUUCUAAUGUCCUUCAAAAAGAAGAGAUAUCUUGCAUGG
Non-coding RNA from Phoenix dactylifera (date palm), 1946 nucleotides. NCBI's taxonomy places the organism in Eukaryota, Viridiplantae, Streptophyta, Magnoliopsida, Arecales, Arecaceae. The record is from RefSeq and is a predicted model, not a curated record.